This is a non-coding RNA of Myotis davidii, 74 nucleotides long. Lineage: Eukaryota; Metazoa; Chordata; Mammalia; Chiroptera; Vespertilionidae. The record is from Rfam.
GGCGGUUCUUGGGUGACACACCCUGGAAUCGGACUCUCUCCUCUUGUACCGGGGUGCAUCACCUGAGAGCUGCC